Molecule: unclassified non-coding RNA, 253 nt
Filed under: Borreliella burgdorferi (Lyme disease spirochete)
Lineage: Bacteria; Pseudomonadati; Spirochaetota; Spirochaetia; Spirochaetales; Borreliaceae
Description: partial 5S-23S ribosomal RNA intergenic spacer
Source: RNAcentral
CUGCGAGUUCGCGGGAGAGUAGGUUAUUGCCAGGUUUUUUAUUUUUAUACUUUAACUUUGAUUUUAUUUUUAUGUUUUUUAAUAUUGGUGUUUUUGAAUGUGUUGUUUAAAUAACAUAAAAAAUAAAAUAUAUAUUGACAUGUAUUAAACAAAGAUAUAUAUUAUUUUAUGUUGUAUAAAUAAAUUGGCAAAAUAGAGAUGGAAGAUAAAAAUAUGGUCAAAGUAAUAAGAGUCUAUGGUGAAUGCCUAGGAA